AGUGGAUGGGGAGCAACCUAGUUGUGCGUGUGUAAAGGUAGUGCCAAGAAAAGCGAUGAUCAUGUUGAAAAUCAAUUCCCGGUACCCGAAACCGACACAGGUGGGCAAGUAGAGAAUACUAAGGGGCGCGAGGUAACUCUCUCCAAGGAACUCGGCAAAAUGACCCCGUAACUUAGGGAGAAGGGGUGCCACCGAGAGGUGGUCGCAGUGAAGAGGCCCAGGCGACUGUUUAGCAAAAACAUAGGUCUCUGCAAACUCGAAAGAGGAGGUAUAGGGGCUGACGCCUGCCCAGUGCCGGAAGGUUAAAGAAGUUGGUCAGUUUUAGGAUGAAGCUAGCGACUGAAGCCCCGGUGAACGGCGGCCGUAACUAUAACGGUCCUAAGGUAGCGAAAUUCCUUGUCGGGUAAGUUCCGACCCGCACGAAAGGCGUAACGAUCUGGGCGCUGUCUCGGAGAGAGGCUCGGCGAGAUAGGAUUGUCUGUGAAGAUACGGACUACCUGCAUUUGGACAGAAAGACCCUAUGAAGCUUUACUAUAGCUUGGAAUUGUGUUCGGGCUUCCUGUGCGCAGGAUAGGUGGGAGGCGUAGAAGGUAUUCUUGUGGGGAUACUGGAGCCAACGGUGAGAUACCACUCUCAGGAGGCUAGAAUUCUAACUUAAUUAAGGACAGUUUCAGGUGGGUAGUUUGACUGGGGCGGUCGCCUCCAAAAAGGUAACGGAGGCGUACAAAGGUUCCCUCAGACUGGUUGGAAAUCAGUCGAAGAGUGCAAAGGCAGAAGGGAGCUUGACUGCGAGAAGUACAGUUCGAGCAGGGUGGAAACACGGUCUUAGUGAUCCGACGGUGCUGUGUGGAAGGGCCGUCGCUCAACGGAUAAAAGUUACUCUAGGAUAACAGGCUGAUCUCCCCCAAGAGUUCACAUCGACGGGGAGGUUUGGCACCUCGAUGUCGGCUCAUCGCAACCUGGGGCGGAAGUACGUCCCAAGGGUUGGGCUGUUCGCCCAUUAAAGCGGUACGUGAGCUGGGUUCAGAACGUCGUGAGACAGUUCGGUCCAUAUCCGAUGUAGGCGUGAGAAUAUUGAGAGGAGCCUUCCUUAGUACGAGAGGACCGGGAAGGACGCACCGCUGGUGUACCUGUUAUGAUGCCAAUUGUAAACGCAGGGUAGCCAAGUGCGGAGAGGAUAACCGCUGAAAGCAUCUAAGUGGGAAGCCCACCUCAAGAUGAGUAUUCUGGUGUAAGGUCACGGGAAGACGACCCGUAAAUAGGCACGAGGUGGAAGUGCAGAGAUGUAUGAAGCCGAAGUGUACUAAUAGACCGUCGGCUUGACC
Molecule: ribosomal RNA, 1325 nt
Filed under: metagenome
Description: bacterial LSU rRNA
Rfam family: Bacterial large subunit ribosomal RNA
Source: RNAcentral